RNAcentral lists this long non-coding RNA (275 nucleotides) under Capsicum annuum. Its description in RNAcentral is "long non-coding RNA (CANN_LNC017049)". The record is from RNAcentral. Lineage: Eukaryota; Viridiplantae; Streptophyta; Magnoliopsida; Solanales; Solanaceae.
ACAACUUUUUAUUCAUUUCUUUUAUGCUACCUUUCUUUUUUUAUUUCUCUUUUCCUCUGCACACAACUUUUUAUUCAUUUCUUUUAUGCUACCUUUCUUUAUACUCAUUCUAUAUCACGCACCCCUAUGAUAGCCAUCCUCAACUUAGGCCAUUUGCCUAAGUCAAGGUGCACAGUGUCCAAGGAGGACCAGGGCCAAAACAGGUUCAUUAUCAUCUAAAUGAGAAGGUGACAGGUGUCAUACAAAGAAAUAGGCUAAUUAGGCUCAAAACAGGG